This is a non-coding RNA of Anisakis simplex (herring worm), 81 nucleotides long. The record is from Rfam. NCBI's taxonomy places the organism in Eukaryota, Metazoa, Nematoda, Chromadorea, Rhabditida, Anisakidae.
GAUCAGGUGGCCGAGUGGUUAAGGCGAUGGACUGCUAAUCCACGGGGUUUCCCCGCGUGAGUUCGAAUCUCAUCCUGAUCG